Molecule: non-coding RNA, 2375 nt
Organism: Odocoileus virginianus texanus
Lineage: Eukaryota; Metazoa; Chordata; Mammalia; Artiodactyla; Cervidae
Source: RefSeq, a predicted model, not a curated record
AGACCCAGCACAGCCAAAAAUAAAUAUUUUUUAAAAAACAAAUUCAGACUCAUGCUGUGGCCCCUGCCUCGAGUGUGCAACUCUCCGACCCACAUGAACCUCCCCCACAGCCACUGCCGCCACCCUUCAGAAUGGCCAACAGGGGACCUGCCUACUGCCUGAGCCGGGAGGUACAGCAGAAGACUGAGAAACAAUACGAUGCGGACCUGGAGCAAAUUCUGAUCCAGUGGAUCACCACCCAGUGCCGCAAGCAUGUGGGCUGGCCCCAGCAUGGGCGCGAGAACUUCCAGAACUGGCUCAAGGAUGGCACGGUGCUGUGUGAGCUCAUUAGUGGGCUGUACCCUGAGGGGCAGGCCCCAGUGAAGAAGAUCCAGGCCUCCACCAUGGCCUUCAAGCAGAUGGAGCAGAUCUCCCAGUUCCUGCAAGUAGCCGAGCACUACGGCAUCAACACCACUGACAUCUUCCAAGCUGUGGACCUCUGGGAAGGAAAGAACGUGGCCUGUGUGCAGCAGACGCUGAUGAACCUGGGCUGGCUGUAGCCCAGGACAGUGGGCUCUUCUCUGGGGAUCCUAACUGGUUUCCCAAGAAAUCCAAGGAGAACCCUCGGUACUUCUCGGACAACCAACUGCAGGAGGGCAAGAAUGUGAUUGGCAUACAGAUGGGGACCAUCCGUGGGGGUUCUCAGGCAGGCAUGACCAGCUAUGCGAUGCCAUGCCAGAUCCUUUGAUCUGCUCUGCAGCCCUGCCCCUGCCCUCCGUGAAUGGUUAAUAUAUGUUUGUUUGUUUGUUUUUUAGCAUUGACAUUUCCUGAGAGCCCCUGGGAGCUCUCGUGCUCCCUUCUGCCAGGGUGGGGGCCUGGCUUGUCUCCUCCAGGGGUGCCCGAUGGCCUCCCCCUUGUGCUUACUAAUACAUUCCCUUCUCCAAACCCACAAAACUGGACCAACUGGCCUCUUUUCCCCGGGACCAAAAUUGGGGGGGGGGCCCCUCACCCCCUCUCCACACCAUACCUCUUCUCUUUCCUCUGGCCUCUUCACUCUGAGCCCUGUGCCGUGAUCCAUUCCUUAGCUGGGAAUCAAGGAUGCUGCCUGAUGGCCUUCUCCCCCAAUAUGUAUGCCUUGCCCACAGCUGUGGCUGCAGGGAAUUAAUUUAUAGGGAGGGGCCUGUGGCAGCCGCCACCCCAGCCCCAACUGGACUGCACUCACCACACUUAGGAGGCAGCCUGCCCUGGCAGAGGCCCCCAGGCUUCUCAUUUUCCAUUCCUUUCUGUGGCUAACAGGUGGGGGUGAGGGAGCCUUGGAGGGAAGGCUGCUCACCAUAGGCUGAAGACUCUGAGUUUGCUGAUUUAAAUAAAGAAUUUUUUUUAAAAAAAUUUAAAAAUAAUUGCAAAUGAGAUUCCUUCCUACAAGUUUAAGAAUUACAUUAAUUUUGCUUUUUAUCUCACAUAUCUUAGAAUAUGUGACACAGACAAUAAAGCAAAACAAAAAAUGUUUAUUGUGGUAGGUGCUAGAAUAAACAAAGAUCACUAGAACACCACUGUGCUCUCAAAAAAUAGAACAUAAAACCAAAUUGUGUAUAGUAAAGUUAAAUAUUAAAGGAGGUAAUGUGGAGAUGUUUUAGGAGCAUUAAAUACUCAACUAACUGGGCCUAGGGAUCUGGAGAAGAGUCAGAAACCUUUUCAAAGAGGAGGCAGUUUUUGAGUGGGGCUUUUUAGAAUGAGUAGGAAUUCACCCAGUGGCAGCUCUAGAAUGUCUCUGUUGAAGGAGUGAGUGGCAGCCAUCUAGACAGAAGGAAAAAUUGGACAACUUGUCUUAAAGUUGCAUUUGCAUGGCAAGCACACUAUUUUUACUUAGAACUCAUGUUUAUUAGGGUUACUGAUGAAGAUUAUGAGGAUAGUGCUAAAAGCAAUCUGCUUACUUGCUAAAAAGCUCAAGUUUUAUCCUUGUAGGCAAUGGGGGAACCUUUAAAAGAUUUAAUCAGGACAAUCAUAUAGGCAUUUUAUGAAAAGAACACUCAUAGCAGUGGAUUUCUUUUUUUUUUUUUUUGCAGUACCAAGACUAAAGCAUAAUUAAAGUAACUACAGUAAAGACCUAAAGGAGGUUGAGGUGGAAGUGGAAAAGAAGAGGGGUUAGAUUAAAUAGAUAUGAUAGAGAAGAACAAGAAUUGAUGGUUAUGUAGAUAGAUAUGGCAUGUGAAACAGUGAUGACUCUAAAGUUACAAAUUUAGUUAAUUGGGCAAAUGGUGGUACCGUAGAUGGGAUGGAAUAGAAAUACUGGAGGAAUGGAAUACAUUUGGACUGGAAUAGAAACAAAGAAAUCAGCUGGGAUUGCCAGCUCAGGAUGCUUCUGAUAGAGAUACUCAGUGUGUGUGUGUGCCUGC